Molecule: ribosomal RNA, 253 nt
Filed under: uncultured bacterium
Lineage: Bacteria
Description: partial 16S ribosomal RNA
Rfam family: Bacterial small subunit ribosomal RNA
Source: RNAcentral
UACGAGGGGGGCAAAUGUUGUUCGGAAUCACUGGGCGUAAAGGGCGCGUAGGCGGGCUUCUAAGUUAGAUGUUUAAUCCCGGGGCCCAACCCCGGACAGGCACCUAAAACUGGAAGUCUUGAAUAGUGGAGAGGACGGCGGAAUUGGGGGUGUAGCGGUGGAAUGCGUAGAGAUCCCCAAGAACACCAGUUGCGAAGGCGGCCGUCUGGACACAUAUUGACGCUGAGGCUCGAAAGCAUGGCGAGCAAACAGG